AAGACUUUAGAUAUGAUCCAGAGUACCACGGGACACGUGAAACCCUGUGGGAAGCAGGAGGGACCACCCUCCAAGGCUAAAUACUACCUAGUGACCGAUAGCGUAUAGUACCGUGAGGGAAAGGUGAAAAGAACCCCGGGAGGGGAGUGAAAUAGAACCUGAAACCCUGCACUUACAAGCUGUGGAAGCACAUUUCUUGUGUGACCGCGUACUUUUUGUAGAACGGGCCAACGAGUUACGUUAAGUAG
Molecule: ribosomal RNA, 248 nt
Filed under: Clostridioides difficile
Lineage: Bacteria; Bacillati; Bacillota; Clostridia; Peptostreptococcales; Peptostreptococcaceae
Description: partial 23S ribosomal RNA
Rfam family: Bacterial large subunit ribosomal RNA
Source: RNAcentral